GCUGGAUCGGUGAUGUUUUAUAAAACUGCGUUAUCUAUCUGAUUGUCCAUUUUGGAUCUGAAGAUCAACUUUGCAUUUCUGAGAUCCCUU
This 90-nucleotide small nucleolar RNA is filed under the name Erythranthe guttata (spotted monkey flower). RNAcentral describes it as "Mimulus guttatus (spotted monkey flower) Small nucleolar RNA snoR27". It matches the Rfam family "Small nucleolar RNA snoR27". Lineage: Eukaryota; Viridiplantae; Streptophyta; Magnoliopsida; Lamiales; Phrymaceae. The record is from Rfam by way of RNAcentral.